ACUCGAGACGCCGCUAACUCUACGGUAGUGCCAGCGCGCAUAUGAUAAAAUGGUCGGUGUUGUCAGUCAUUACAGACGCCAGUGCUGACACCCUUUAUUAUUUGAUCUUUCAGCUGCACGAGAGGAAAGUCAUCAACGUGACAUCCAAGCCAGGACUGCACAUCUGGAUGAGUGAUUAUUAGCAAGGAAAACGAUGAAACCAUCUGUGACAGCUCAAAAUGGGAAACCUCAUCCCUGCAAUGGAACAUGAAUGAUACUGAGCAGAGAAAUCUUUAGGUGCAGGGAGCCGGCCUGCAGGAGGUAGCGGUAGCUCUCCAUCUCUUCCUCCUUGCUCUUGGACAUGGACUCCUCCUGCAGCGAGGCCGGGCCCAUUCCCCCCUGCUACAGCCGGACCAGAACCAGACAGCAGAGUAAUCCGAGGCCUCACAUCCUCCUCACACUUCUACAUCGCGCAGUGGAUGAUGGCAUCUCCCCUGGCCCUGCUAGAUGCUGGAACUUGUUGACCUUGAGCUGCAUGCAGUGUCACACACACACAGUAGAAACACACAGGAAAUGAGCUGGUUCUUUUCCUGUCCCAGCACUCACAACAAAAUCCGUCUGAUCGCUGCUGGCUGCCGAGCUGUUUUUGCCCGUCCCCUGACUUUUCUCUCUCUCUCUCUCUCUCUCUCUCUCUCUCUCUCUCUCUCUCUCUCUCUCUCUCUCUCUCUUUGGGCUUUAGUGCGUCAGCUCUGCACUAAAAAGUCCUGACGCUGAGCCAAUUCCCCUCCCUACUUCUCACUGUAAUUCAUGCUUCUAUGUUUGACAGCUUCCAAGGGAGCUACAGCGGCUGCAAGUUUCCGCAUGGUCACCAAAAACGAGGCAAGUGCAGAAAAUAGAUCUUCUGUAAGAGCACAUGAAAGUCAAACACACCCUCGGCCAUCGAGCGCGGCCUACGAUACACAACAAUCACAUUCAGAGAGUGUGAAAGGGUGUCAUUGUGCACACACCGACACAGAGCCUUUUCUCUCCCCCCUGUUCAAGGCGGCUCGGCCUAAAAGAUGAUGGAUCAGCAGUGUUUGCACUUCCUGUUCGCUGGAGGAGUCCUAGAUGGGGGGGCAGUCGCACACUUGAUCCAGCUUAGCCUGCCUUGCCAUCUCAUUAUGGCACAGCAUCUGCUUAGCACUCAAGGUACACACACACACAAGAUAUGUUGACGCUUGUGCUUCGGACGGAAAAAGGAUCCUGGGUGCGGAGCACUUGGAACCGGGGUGGGCAGACUGUGGCCCAUGGGCCACAUCAGGCCCGCCGAGCGUCUUAAUCCAGCCCACUAUUUCCAAAUUCCUUUUUUUUUUAAACAUUUAACAUCAAAACUGUAGCUGGCAACAUGACUUUCAGUGCCAUUGUGGCACGCUUGAGUCGCCUAAAUAGUCCCAUGCAAUCUGUAGCAAUCCAAACACAGCACGUCCACACACACACAACACACAAGUAACCUACCUACUGCACCAUGUGGGCAUACAAAUGUCUAUAUGCAAUACCCAUGCCAAAAAACACCCAUAUAUUCCUGCCGCAAGGCAUGCUGGGUAGCUUUUGGUACUCUUCUAGCAUUUUCGCUAGAUUGCAAAAUGUUGAGGUUGUGAGAGAAUUGAACAAGGAGUUGUUGACAUUCUCUUGAUAUCCAACGUUGUAUUGUUCAUACUUCACAUUGUCUUGCAACUCAAAUACCCAGCAUGCCUUGCGGGCAUUUGGAGCGUUUAAAGUUACAUGUUAUGUUUAGCGCUUAGUUGUUGAUUUACGUGUUGCGUGAACUUGCUGUGGAUGUAUUUUCGUUUGUUACGCCGUGAGCAAGUGUGUCGUGCUUGAUGCCACCUGCAUAUAGACGGGCCCUUUGGCAAAUGUUUUAACCCAAUGUGGAUUCAAAACGACUAAAAUUGUGCAUCAUACCGUUUCUACAAGAUGUGUCAGAAAAGUGACAGGACUGUUCAUGCUGAUCGCAUUCUUCCACGUGAGGGGCAUCGGCCACUGGCAGUUGUUGCCACAGGACCAGACGAUGAGCCAGUACGUCUACGAAGAGAUCCUGUAGCGUUUGCGUCUUUCCGUGCGCCAGAAGAGGUGAGAGUUGUGGCAGGACAACUUGUAGCUGCCCACAAUGCCCAGAGUGUCCAUCCAGCAGUUCCUUCACCCAACCUGGCUGAAGCUCAAGAUGGUCAUCAAGGGGACCCGUUUCAAGACGCGGAUGACAUCAAGAUGGCCUUGACAACCAAGCUGCGAAGAAUCCUUCCAGGAGUGCAUGAAGGCUGAGAAAGUACCUCAGAUUACUUUGAAGGGGAAAACUCCUAGUUUGGAUUUGAAAUGGAUCAGACAUCAGUCCUGGACGUUUAUGACACACCUCGUAUCUUCUGCUUUAUUUACCAGCUUAGAUUUCCCAAAAACUCUUUUUCAUUGCGGGCCUCAUAACAGCUUUGGUUGCUUUCAGGGGGCCACCUAUAAUCAUCCAGGGGCCUCACUUGUAAAACCGUGCAUGGAAAUCUGACUAAAAGUCUGCGUACGCCAUAAGCCCAUCAUGUGCGUACGGACAAAAAUACUCAGACCUAAAAAGAAAGUGAUGUACGCACACGGUCACUCAAUUUGUGCUUCACCUGCUGUCCAAAUGUGCGUACGCAACCCCACCCCCACGUCACACCUUCUAUUCACCAUAAAUGGUCUGCAAAGUGGCUCAAGAAUGCGGCGUCCAUAUUUAAUGACCCUUGAUUGCAUUUUGCUUGGUUCUUCUGAAUCAUGGCUGCAGAGAAGACAAAGAAGCAGAACUUCACCUAAACAAGAGGUGGAACUCUUAGAGCUGGAGGCCCGUACAAACAUCAUAUUUGGAGGACACAGCAGUGGCGUUUGGCACAAGAGGAAGAUGAGCGUGGCAUAUAGCGUCCGCUGUCAACAGCGUCAGUGGGAUGGGGCGCACCGUGGCACAACUUAAAAAGUGGCCGGGUAUCAAGGCACACAUUUCUAUUUUUAGUGAGCAUGUUUCUACAUUUUUCCUAGUUGAUACAUUUGAGAUGAAUAAAGCCUAGCCAUAUCUGGUUCAUUCAAAGGAUGCCAAGACUCAAAACAGCGAUGAAGUUGUGUCGAAAACUGCUGUAAUUAAUUUUGAAAAAACUAAUUAACACCAUCAAACUAUUCGUGAUAUUACAGAUAUUUUAGGAGGAACUAAUGUGUGUUAUUUCAAAGCCCAAUAAAAGAAACGGCCAUCAUUUGUGGAAAAUAAGAGAGGACAUUUACGCACACGGCUCUGACACGAUCCACUAAAAGAGGCCUUGCACGGUAAGUAAAUGUUGCUAUUGAUGACAUACUUGACAUUUGCAACGGAAAACUAGCCUAUUUUUUGAUCAACUGUCCAGAGAAAAGCAAGCAACAGAGCAACAACAUAUUAGCUCUGUCUUCUAAACUUAAAUCCUACAAUUAUUUGACAACCUGAUGUUUCUUGUAACUAAUAUUAAUGGAACACAAUGAUUGCAAAAUAAAAUGAAGCGCUGCUUUGUGUUUUUCAUGUGUCUUUCAGACGGGACACAAUACACUGGUGCGUAAUGGUGUUCAUGAUAGAUGAUAUCAGUGUCAGGUCAAUAACGGUGUGUUUUCAUGCGAUGAUGGAUACAUCUUUACUGGCUUCCAUUGCGUGUUUAUUUCUUAAAUAUUUCACAUCACCACUUCAAAAGUGUCACCUUUUUGCCAUGUCUCCAAAAAGUGCGUACAGCAACUCCAAAGGUGGCGUACCGGUGCACGCGUUCUCACGUCAAGUUGUGUUUUUAAAAGGUACCAUACUUGGCGUGGAAAACGGUGUAAGCAAGCUUUACAAGGCCCCUGGCCUUUGAAUGCAUCACAACUGGACUGUUCCGUUUUGUCUGAGGAAGUGUUCAUGUUCAGAAGGCUGGCUAGGACUGCUGUAGUCCAAGCAUGUCUUCUGUAAGUUGGAGCUAUGCACCAACCAAGACUGGUUUCUUGCAGAGCAAAACGUCAGUAAGAAACCGUGUGGCCUCUGACAAACAAUCACCCAAACCACCACAAAUAAAUGAAAAACUCCCACUUGCAUGCAUCAACAGGAACAGUUGGUCAAAUCCUAAUUUGUUCAGUCCUUCUUACCUCCAGGUGUGCACAAACUACACUUAGACUGAUCUUUCAGUGUCCAUCUGCACAUCACUAGCAUCCAGCACAUUUCCUCUUACAUCAUAUCUGCCAUUCACAGGCUUUUUGCUGGAAGCACAAGUGAACCAAACUGCACCGGGGUUCACUUGGAAGCAGACCAUCGCUCAAGGUCUCGAUCUGCUUGUUUGGGGAACACCAGGGUUGGGAUGGUCUAGUGGGGCGACGGCACCAGACUUCCUUUUUAACUGAAGCAAACAUGACAAGUGUGAACGCGCCCGUAAAAAAAGCACACACACACCAAGCAGCAAUACAGGCACUUUCCUCAAAAUGUUUUUUAUUAUUACAGAAAAUUUAAAUAGAAUUUCAAUACAUUCAGCUGAGAGGCUGGCGAGUCAACAAAAGGGCCUCGAGAUGGUAUAGUGUCCCGUACAGGAACCCUCUUGGUUUUUGGUAUAUUUUCUUUUUCUUAGAAAAACAAGUAGCUGGAAAAAAGGUUAGAAAUACAAUCCACUCUUGUGGCUUUUUCUCUUUUUGGACAAGCAAAGACGUUAGACUCCAGGAAGCAUCACUGAUGCACUUAAAGGUUUGAGAACAAAGCAGUCUUCUUUUGCAAGCUCAGUGCAGCCUGGAGGUCACAUCUUCCAAAGUAAAGCCUUCCUUUAUGUGUGUGACAUCAACACAGGCUACCGCGCUAAUUCAAAGAACAUUUGUGAGUAAAAUGACUUGAUAAAUAUGUCAAACAAUAUACUUGUUUCAUGAUUCAAUGGAAUGAUUAUGGAACACAGGAAGAACCGCCUCAGUGGGCCUCAUAUGACAUUAGACGCAUCUUCAGGUCACAAGUGCUAUAAAUAGGAUGCAUGGAUACACUUUAGUGCAUUGUGUGUGUGUGUGUGUGUGUGUGGUUAUUGUGCGCAUUGUGACUUUUGACACUAUUUAGAUUCCUUAAUAGUGCAGGAGUGCUCCAAGCGUAUCACACUAGACGCUUCUCAUAGGAACUGAGCUGGCUCUCAUAGAACGAGCCGCAGCAACAAGACCUCCACGGCCAGACUGUUUAUAUCAAAAUACACCAGUCAGACGUCCCCGUCUACGUCUGGGGACACGUGCUCAUGCUAUUGAGUGACAAGGUUUGUCAAAACGUUUGACUGGUACUGUGUUCCUUUUUCAAACAAGUCUUGAGGUUUUAUUUUUGUUUUUCUGCUUGCACGGUGGGCCGGAUUAAAGGCCAUCAUGGGCCAUACACGGGUCAAAUACAUGCCUGUCUGCCAUGUUUGCAGAUUCUUGUUGUUGGGCUCGACAUCCAGAAGUACUCCAGCUCAAAUGAAUACACGGCACCAAGUCCAGAAGUUUAGAGGCACAUUAUCGUGCUAUUGAAUGAGGAAAUGUCUCCAAACCUUUGACUGGCACUGGGAAAAAAGCUGCCAACUCAAUUCUGCUGAGAACACAGGGAAAAUGGCAUAUUCACACAAACGUUUGUGUGUGGUUCACACAUAUUUGAACAUAACAUCCAUGACCUUUUUGGCUUUUUAAAUACAGUACACCACACACACAGCAUAUCAUCUUAAUUAGACUCUCAUUGUCACUCAGCUGUUUAGGUGACGCUAUGAGCGUAGUCACAGUGCCCCAACAUCACUCAUCUAUUGCGUGACCCUCACACAAACACACGUUUUGCACUCAGAGGUCGACAUACAUUCUGUAGAAACAGUAAGAUGAAACUAGGGAUGCUCCAAUUGAUCGGACGAUUUCUGUCAAAAACGCGUGAUGGGCAUAUGCCGAUAAAUGCCUUUCAAAGCUGUUCACAAACACCCACGCGUGCAGCGACAAACCCUGCAUGUGUGCUGCGGCCCGUAGGCUUGCCAACACCCGUAUCGAGCCGACAAGGGACGCACUUUGUCCCGUACUGCCGUGAGAAUCCAAACUAGUCUGCAAACUUCAGUGGUUUCAGUUUGCCAUGUUGACAGACUACACCAAUCCAUGCCAGCAUGCUUGAUCACUCCUUUAUCAGACCUACUGCUGUUCCACUUUUCUUGCAUCUUUCUUUACACAUUUUGCCGAGCUGUUACUGGCGGCAGCUAGCUAGCCAGCUAGUUAUGCGCCUAGCUUCUGGUCUUCCGACUCCAAAUGGGACAUUUUGCUAAAGUGACAUUUUGUUUCUAAAAAUAGCAAUACGGUGAGUUGGGAGCUCAUUUUUGUUCAACGGCAAAGUGGACAUCACAUUCAUGGGGUACGUUCUAACUUUUUGAAAUGUCACUCAACUAUUUUGUCUUUGUUGUCAUGAUGCUAAUAAUGUCUUGUCCUUCAAACACUAUUUGUGUGCUUGUUCGAUGACCAUAAAGCCUUAUGACAGCGAUGCCAUCACAGGGGUCUCCUUAUGACGCCGAUGCCAU
Long non-coding RNA from Dunckerocampus dactyliophorus (ringed pipefish), 6494 nucleotides. RefSeq lists it as uncharacterized. Lineage: Eukaryota; Metazoa; Chordata; Actinopteri; Syngnathiformes; Syngnathidae. The record is from RefSeq and is a predicted model, not a curated record. The transcript has 3 exons.